UCUUCAGUUUAGCCGCAGUAUCCUCCACCAAUCGCGAUCGCAGCCAAGUUCGACUCUCCGACAAGGAGAUCUCGACUACUUCAAAGCUCUGAAUCUAUCGAAGAUCAAGCUAGACUCACUCAAGAUAUCGCUCCGGAGGUAGGAAGAUGAGGACUCUACCUCGUCCUUGGCAUUAAACGGCACAUUCAAGGAAGCGUCAACGAUCGGGAGUAGAGGAAUUCACCAAGGUGAGAAAUCUUGGAUCGGAGCUUUCUGGCAUGGGGCACUGCCUCGAUCGACCUCUUCCUCCCAGAGAUCGACCGUCGUGAGACUUGAUCGAGACCCGUGUAAGGCAUCAAAGCGACAAGAGCUCAGAUCUGGAGCUAAGAAUCACCGGAGAACGAGGGUUUCUUGACUUCUUUGCAAGGGAGAGAGAAGAGGGGGGAGCACAAACUCCACUACCGAGAGUGAGAGUGAAUACUGGACGUAAUCUUUAUCUUGGCUUAGGCUCGAGCUUCGUCUUAGCUCGAUUUUAAGCUUCACCUCAGCAAGGAUGCUCAAGGACUUAUGGGCUGGCUAGAAGGAAAAAUAAAAUCGUGAAUGAAAACUUGAAAUCCUCUUACCAUGAGAAUUUUGAACUGUAGGAGUCUCUCCCUUUUU
RNAcentral lists this long non-coding RNA (639 nucleotides) under Elaeis guineensis (African oil palm). Its description in RNAcentral is "long non-coding RNA (EGUI_LNC039054)". Lineage: Eukaryota; Viridiplantae; Streptophyta; Magnoliopsida; Arecales; Arecaceae. The record is from RNAcentral.